Molecule: ribosomal RNA, 253 nt
Filed under: uncultured bacterium
Lineage: Bacteria
Description: partial 16S ribosomal RNA
Rfam family: Bacterial small subunit ribosomal RNA
Source: RNAcentral
UACGUAGGGGGCUAGCGUUGUCCGGAUUUAUUGGGCGUAAAGAGCGUGUAGGCGGCCAGGUAGGUCUGCUGUGAAAACUCGAGGCUCAACCUCGAGACGUCGGCGGAAACCAUCUGGCUAGAGUCCGGAAGAGGAGAGUGGAAUUCCUGGUGUAGCGGUGAAAUGCGCAGAUAUCAUGAAGAACACCCGUGGCGAAGGCGGCUCUCUGGGACGGUACUGACGCUGAGACGCGAAAGCGUGGGGAGCGAACAGG